AAUCUACAAGGUGUAAAAAAAAAAAAAAAGAAAAAAAAAGUCUUUUUUACACUUUUACAAAUUAUAUUCUGAAUAAAGUAUUUUUGAUCAGUAACUUGAUUAAGAAAAAUUAGGGUAAAACCUGAAAAUGUGUUGUGCGGGGUUGAAACUGUUAAUAAAGUGCGAGAGGCGGUAGUAAUGAUCUGGCUCUGGGCUUCCACCUAAAUUAUAUUUGUAUCAAAAUGGUUUAAUGCUUGAGAAGACAUUAAAAAUUCCAUCAUUGAGGUUUUCAUGGAGGUGGUGGGAAAAAAUAAGGUGCUUGGGCUGUUUCAAACCCGAGCUUAAUUCUCUCUUUGGAAAUAAACUCUGCCAAGGAGGAAGGAAAACAACGAAGAUAGAAAAUGUUAAGACGCAGACAUGGCUUCAGUUUUGGUCUUGUAUUGACAGUGUCUCUGGCUAAACUGGGUUUAUUAAUUUGAAAGUAGUAAGGAAAAGAGCGGCCAGGAUAUGGAGAGGAGGAAGCAUUAUAUCAUUAAAACAAGCAUCAAAUUUCAAGAUGCAUUGGCAAUAGUUGCUCAUUAUGGGCUUUUCCUGAACUUGUUUAUGGUGUAUUUAGUUUGGAGUUUUGUUUUGAUUUUUCCUUCUGGUGUGAUCUACAUCCAGACUCUGACUGGACAGGUUCAGCCAACAGCUUGGUGAUAAACCUGUUUCUUGCAAUCCACUAAUUGCCCCCAGUCUUAGAAUGAAUAUUGCUUCCUUCGGGUGUGUUUGCAAAAUAAAGAGUGCGAAAAAAGAGGUGGGCAGAAUCAUCUGUUCUCUUGCUCUUUCAUUUGAUAAUCAGAACUAUUUCUGUUCAUCAGUUUUAUUCCACUGAUUAAGCUGUCUUGUUAACUAGGCAAGAUCUAAGCAUGUUACCCUAUUUGCAGUGAAAAGCUUUUCUGUUUUGGUAAAUUCUAACCCUUUAGAGUUAUAUCUCUUCCACUCUCUUCCUAACUUUCAGCUUUUACCUUUUCCAUAAAACUAUCAAAGAAACAGUUGGUUUUUCUUUUUUUUUUCUUUUCCCAUUUUCUAUCCAGUAUUCCUGCCUGUUUCCAAUACUAAACAGUAGUCUGUUUUUUAACUUUAAAUGUUAAGAAAGCUUGCCUUACCAGGGGACAUUAGUAAUACCACACAAAUUCUGGUACAGAAGUCCUUUCUUGGGAAGUACACAGUUCAACAUUCCUGCUGUGGUAUAGUCCUAAAGAUGCAUUCUUGACCUGUAGCUUUUUCCCCAUCAAAUUGGGAGCAAGUAUUUAUUAUUACUUCUAAACUAUUAAUAUUUUUAUUUAUGAACAGGAAGACUACAUACUUAAAAGACUGAUCUGCAAAGGACUUGAGUUUGUUGCUUCUAGUUCUUGAAGAACCACAUCCUCUUCGUUAGGCAAACAAUAACCAGAAGACUGGAGAGAUGUCACUUUUAUUAAAAAUGCAGUGUAGUGCAGAACAACAACAUAAAAAGAAUCAACUCAAGCAAAAAUAAGCAUGUCAGAAUCUUACUGAAAUCCAUUAUUUAAAAAAAAAAAAAAAGCAAAUGACGACAAAAAAUCCCAACCAAACAAAACUCCACCAAACUUCAAGACAUUUGGAAAGACAAGAUCAAUAUUUUGAAGAUUCACUGCACAGGACAACCUAGGUAGUAUCCAUUUCUGUAUGGCCUGAUUACCCUCUGCACCAAUAAUAAAAAACGGUACAUUAUUUUUGAUCCUUUAUGUUUGUCUAUAUGACUUCCCUACUUUCACCAGGGUUGGAGGCAGAGUGGGGAGCGUUUCAUUUUUCAGCAAAAGCAUCUCAUUUGAGUAGUUUAUACACAGGUGGCAAAAGCGUGCAACAUUAUUAUCACAUGACAAUCCUUAAUGUCUUCAGUCUGACAACAUGGAGGGUAUACAAAGGGAGACGGUUCCACAUCAUCACUAAAUGCUCAAAGCAGAUAAAUUACACAUUUGCUGUUUGACAGUAAUUGUCGAAAAUGCAGAAUAAUAAAUUACUUUCUGUGCCUUAUUUCUUUCAUCUGAGCAUAUGCUGUGUGUUUAUUUUGAAUGUUUAACUGUUUAUGCAGUUUAAUUGCUGUAAAGCUGGUAUGAGUUAACUUGUGUUUGCCUGAAGCUAUAGAUGACUUUUGAGUGACUUUUACUGAAAAGUACAUCUCGUGUCAGCAGUAGUAGUGGAAGCCACUUCUACCAAUGAGUGCUAUUUUUUGCUUCAGAACAAUGAAUUUUCCAUCUACUACAGUAAUUUAGACAGUUGGUGAUUUUUUUAAAUUUUAUUUUUACUAGUGGAUUUUUUCUAACUUCUGUCAGUUCAUUGCUAAUCUGGAUAUUAUAUCCUCCUAAAGUUAACUUGUUGCAUCCUUAAUACUCCUGAGCUGUGGCAGGAAACUGUUGGCCAUUUCUUUUUACUCGGCUAAAUCAGAGGUACAGACGCAUUGUUUGUUUUGAUGAGAAACUGUUAAUUCAGUGAUUAAUGCAGUGACUCAGUCUUCUGUAGAGAAAAUUAAUUAUCUUUGAUAUCUGUUACAAAAAUGACAGUUUCUUUGAAAAUUGAGCCAGUAUUUAUGGAAUAUCACUGCUUUAAUGUGGUUCUAGAAGUACUAUGCAAGGAUUAAAAUGGUGUGUGUAGGCAGAGAUGGAACUUCUUUUCAAUGGAAGAUAUUUCAGCCAAAGGGUUUGGAGUUCUGUUUUGUUGGUGGGGUUUGGGGGCUAUUGUGAGGUGUCUGGUAGGAGGGCAGAAACAAUAUGUUAUCUCUGAUGAGAUGAUAGAGUCUCUUGAUUCCUUGCCAUGCAGUUGUGAUGAGGGUCAGGCAGUACAGAAAACUUGUGUUGGUUCCAGAAGCACUUCUCUCUACUUGGGUUUGCUUUCCCACAGUGUUGAUGCUGCCCAUUUUAGAAAUUCAAGCAAGAGUAAAAGAGAAGCCUAUUAAUGGAGUAGGUCACUUCUGCAUAUCUGGUAUUAUCAGUCAGGUUAGUUAUUAUGCUGUCCAAAAAAUCUCUGUAGUAGUUGUACUAACAGCUGUACAUGCAUAAAAUGACUUCUGCUAUGGAGUCAGUAAACUAGUUUUCCCCUUGCAGCAGCAAUCAUCAUUAUAUCUUAAAAAUAAUACCCCCCCCCCCCCCCCCCGUCAUUAUUAAAGACUAAACAUUAGCUGUGGACCGAUGCUUGGUUCCCAUUUAACAUUUGUGGAGCUGAUUUUUGUUUGUAGAAGGGUCAGAAUUUGAGCUUGGGGAAUAUGGAGAGAGAUUUUCAAAAUUAGGUAGAGAUUCUUAUACUGAGAAACUUACACUGUUUCUGACUAUGACAAAAUAUACAUCAUUAUUAAAUAUUCAAAACAGAAUGAAGUGUCAAUCUCUGUCAAUUUCUGUAAGAAAAUAAUACAAAUUUCUUUCAGGCUGGACCUUUAACCAAAGUGACGAUUUGUAAGGACAAAGAAGGAAAACCUAAGUCUUUUGGAUUUGUCUGCUUUAAGCACAAAGUGUCAGUGCCUUAUGCAAUAGCUUUGCUGAAUGGAAUCCGCUUGUAUGGAAGACCAAUUAAAGUGCAGUAUCGGUUUGCCCUGAUUUAUGCUUCUGGAAGUGAAUAAAUGAUAAAUGAACAUUUUCAAGCAGCAAGGAUGGUAUAGAUUAUCUGCCAUAAAAAGGUACCAUAUCUUUAUAUACUAGCUUAGAUACACUAGCACACUGCAAAUGACACAGAACACUUUCUGUGGUUUUAAGUUUUUUAAUUGAAUAGUUGUAACUGAAUAGUCAUUAUGCUUUUGUCUUAUUUACAGGGAGUUCUCACUCAGAACUAAACAGCCCUACACAUGGUUUUGAGAACUAUAUUGACUUAUAUUCACCUUCAUAUAGGUAACAAAGAUAACCUGUGAAUGAACUGCAUGAUUAUAAUUUUUAAAAAAUCUUAUUAAGUCAAUUGAUGCAACUGAGCAAUCUUUAGGCUUUUCAUUAUAACAGCUGUUGCAUGCUAUAGUUGCAUCCCUACUGAUGACUUGCAACAGGCUCUAAUUAAUGUUUGGUUGCUUAGCUUGCCAGAAGUUCAGUUAGCUUGAAUUUUCCAUUCUUUCUUUGUUUCUGCAAGAUACAAGACCAUCAGAGAAUACUGAAAUGUGGUGCUUGUACUAAAAAUAUUUGCAUAUGUUAAAGGAAAAAAAAAUAUGACAACAGAGAUUAUCUUUUUAAACCCCACUGAGUUUAUAUCUGUAUUUUUUGUGUGUAUAUGUACAAGCAGCUUUCACGGACAUAUGAAUGCACAGAUAUAAAUCUGUUAUAAUGGAAGUCUGAAUACCCCAGAU
Molecule: RNA transcript, 4300 nt
Organism: Columba livia (rock pigeon)
Lineage: Eukaryota; Metazoa; Chordata; Aves; Columbiformes; Columbidae
Gene: RBM11
Gene name: RNA binding motif protein 11
Exons: 2
Source: RefSeq, a predicted model, not a curated record